CCGAGCUCCUGCCCUCCGGGUAGAGACGCCACCCGUGUGUAUCAGACCACUGUUGCUUUGGCGGGCACUGCCCGCCAGAGGCCCCUAACCCUGAGCGUGUGUGUUGUCGGAGCACUAUCUAAUAGUUA
This 128-nucleotide unclassified non-coding RNA is filed under the name uncultured Phialophora. RNAcentral's name for it is "sequence contains ITS1". Lineage: Eukaryota; Fungi; Ascomycota; Leotiomycetes. The record is from RNAcentral.